This 488-nucleotide ribosomal RNA is filed under the name uncultured bacterium. RNAcentral's name for it is "partial 16S ribosomal RNA". It matches the Rfam family "Bacterial small subunit ribosomal RNA", at positions 30 to 507 of the family's 1533-position model. The record is from RNAcentral.
UGAACGCUAGCGAUAGGCUUAACACAUGCACAUCGCGGGGCAGCAUGGUCUUAGCUUGCUAAGACUGAUGGCGACCGGCGCACGGGUGCGUAACGCGUAUGCAACUUGCCUCACAGAGGGGGAUAACCCGUCGAAAGACGGACUAAUACCGCGUACACUCCAUCUUGGGCAUCCAAGGUAGAGGAAAUGAAAUUCGCUGUGAGAUAGGCAUGCGUCCCAUUAGCUAGUUGGUGAGGUAACGGCUCACCAAGGCGACGAUGGGUAGGGGAACUGAGAGGUUGAACCCCCACACUGGUACUGAGACACGGACCAGACUACUACGGGAGGCAGCAGUGAGGAAUAUUGGUCAAUGGGCGAGAGCCUGAACCAGCCAAGUCGCGUGAAGGAUGACUGUCUUAUGGAUUGUAAACUUCUUUUAUACGGGAAUAACAAGAGUCACGUGUGACUCCCUGCAUGUACCGUAUGAAUAAGCAUCGGCUAACUCCGUG